RNAcentral lists this ribosomal RNA (484 nucleotides) under uncultured bacterium. RNAcentral's name for it is "partial 16S ribosomal RNA". It matches the Rfam family "Bacterial small subunit ribosomal RNA", at positions 30 to 507 of the family's 1533-position model. The record is from RNAcentral.
AGUGAACGCUGGCGGCAGGCCUAACACAUGCAAGUCGAGCGGCAGCGGGUCCUUCGGGAUGCCGGCGAGCGGCGGACGGGUGAGGAAUACAUCGGAAUCUGCCCUGGCGUGGGGGAUAACCUAGGGAAACUUAGGCUAAUACCGCAUACGACCUACGGGGGAAAGCGGGGGAUCGCAAGACCUCGCGCGACAGGAUGAGCCGAUGUCCGAUUGGCUAGUUGGCGGGGUAAAGGCCCACCAAGGCGACGAUCGGUAGCUGGUCUGAGAGGAUGAUCAGCCACACUGGGACUGAGACAAGGCCCCGACUCCUACGGGAGGCAGCAGUGGGGAAUAUUGGCCAAUGGGCGCAAGCCUGAUCCAGCCAUGCCGCGUGGGUGAAGAAGGCCUUCGGGUUGUAAAGCCCUUUUGUCCGGGAAGAAAUCGUCUGGGCUAAUACCCCGGGCGGAUGACGGUACCGGAAGAAUAAGCACCGGCUAACUUCGUG